GAAAGCAUGACAAGACCUCUAUUUUCUCCUUGUGCUCUAGGAAUGUCAAGCAUGACUUGGUUUUUGUUGAUCUCACUGAGUCUCAAAAAGCACUGAAACGGGAAGAAAAGUUUUGAAGCUGGUGAUCUGUUGCAGCCCUGAUCCGUCGCUGCUGAUACUACUGCUCAGAGCCCCUCUGGAAGGUAACCUGAUCUCUUUGGUAAUGCAGUGUCCAGAACUGAAGACAGUACAUUAGAGGCAGUCACAUCACAGCUGUGCAGAGAACUACUCCAUUUGAGAUGGCUGUAACUUGACCAAAUCUACUGAACAUGUCACAGUGGUGGCACACCGUCCCCCCAGAAUUAACAAAAUACACCCAGCUGGAUUAAAUGACUUUUUCUGCUCUCAUCCCUUGAGAUUAAUGGAUGAUACGUUGUACUGAUCCAGUGCUUCUUGUGGGACACUUGCCUCUGGCUGUGUUAACUUCCCUUUGACAAGAACCAGUACAACCAGAGAUAGAAACAAGAAGAUUCAAGUAUGCAUGUGCAUCAACCAAUUCACUGGCUUCAGCCUGACAGCAAUUUUUUUGUCCCUUGAUGAACGCAGACAUAAAAAGGAAGUACAUGUGCAAGUGGAGGGCAAAAGAGCCUGGUGGCAACAUAGCUCCCAUAGGACCCAAGUCCUGAAAUAAGGGAAAGUAGUGGGAGUUGUAGCUGUAUAUCUGACGUUAGGUCUGUGGAGUCCAAAGUGUUGUGGCAAGAUGUUUACAAAGUUCAUCUUACAUUUGCUUCUAAGUAUGUGGGAUGCUGUACAGCUCUCAACUGACCCUUAUUUCAGAAGACAAUACUCCUCUCAGCCCCACCAAUAUCUAUAUUCCACACAAAUAGAGUGUCCCUCCCUUGUGCUGUUGAAAACAAUUUAUCUCAGAAAUAAAGAAUCAAGAGUUUUGAGGUGAUAGGAAUGAUCUGGGCCAGGCAUGUGCUUCUAGGCACUAUGGAAAUAACAGCAGCAGCAGAACGCUGAACAUAUGAAAUCCAAUUUAUGACUGUCUAAUUAGGUAUACUUAUUUCAUACGGAAUAAAAAAAAAGGUAAAAAUGAAAUAGAAGAGGUAUCAAGGAUGGUUAAGAUGACUACAAAAUCCAAGAAAAUAAACCGUAGGCUAAUAUUUGUAGGUCAGAAAAGGUGUUGGAUUCAGUUCCACAAUUACGGAUAUGGAAAAUACCUAGAAUGUGCAGCACUGCAACUAAAUCAUGAAUUUACAGAUUCAACAACGCUGAUUGGAAGCCAGAUCUCAUCAUCUGUGACCCCCUCAACAAGUGCAGGUAAAGGUGUGAUUGGAUCUAAUGCAUGACACACAAGAGUGUGGCACAGCCAGAACCAGAAGCCCCAUCCAGUGCAAGACUCUUGGUCCUGGCUGCGAGUGUGGGCCUGGGGGUUUUGCACACAUUCAAGCCUUGCAGAUCACGGCCACUAAGAUCACCUGGGCUCAGAGAUUUCAUGCUGGCAUGGAGCACCCUUGCUUUUUCAAGCUCUAAUUUUAUAGCUGGUUGGAACUUUUUAGUGUGUGAUAAGUACUUUGCAUGAGUAGCCAGUCUUAAGAUGAUUGCAUAAUUAACCAGUUAAUUGCAUGAUACCUGUAAACAUGUAGAAUGGGCCUAUGAAUAAAACUAGCCACUGUUAAUAACUCCUUGGGAAACUUUCUAUCACCUCGGGUUUUCAUCAUUUGUGUCAUCCCAUUAUCUACCCUUCUAAGGAAAAGUAAACUGGGGCCCACCAUGCAAAAUUUUAUCAGCCCCUUCCCAUAUCUGCAUGAUCUUAAAUUGCAUGGAAAGGCAGCUAAAGAUACCCUCGGCCUUCUCUAAUUAUAGCUGCAUGGUGUUCGGAUGAAACAAAUGUGCCAUGGUGUGAUCAUCAAUAGCCAAGCUGGGAAUGGUCUAGGCUGAACCCCAGAGGAAGUCAACGAUGCAAGAAAAUGACAAGCGCUUCGGUAUUUCAGAGCAUGGCUCCAUCAGCAAUGUUGAUUUUAAAUGGAAAACAAAAGUAAAAACCAAGGAGAAGUUCAAUCUACUCCUGAAAUCCAGGCUCUUCAGCACUAACUAACAAUUGGACUCUGGAAGAAUUGAAAAAGUCAGACAGGAUGGCCAGAAAGGAGGUGAAAGUUGUCCUGAGCUGACUUGCAGGUAAAAUGGGAGGGCUAGAAAGAAAGCACCUGGCAUUGCUCUCUAGUGACUUUUCUUAAAUUAGCCUGAGGAUCCUCUGUGGACUUACGAUUGAAUUUCACCAGCUUCUUUUUGAGCAAAAGGGGCACAAAAACACUGCGCAUGGAGAAAAAUCUCUUUGGGAACUUUCUAUUGCAAUCAGGCAAGAACAAAAAGCUAGUUUCUUGUGCUCUCUCCACCAAUGUAUGCCCUAUCAAACCAUCUUUGUGAA
Long non-coding RNA from Alligator sinensis (Chinese alligator), 2410 nucleotides. RefSeq lists it as uncharacterized. The transcript has 3 exons. NCBI's taxonomy places the organism in Eukaryota, Metazoa, Chordata, Crocodylia, Alligatoridae. The record is from RefSeq and is a predicted model, not a curated record.